UCCUAAAAGCAUUGCCCUUGAAAAGCAGGG
This 30-nucleotide non-coding RNA is filed under the name Homo sapiens (human). Lineage: Eukaryota; Metazoa; Chordata; Mammalia; Primates; Hominidae. The record is from RNAcentral.